AGGCUGCAGUCGAGAUCUUUCGCAUGGGCGCAAGCCUGACGAAGCGACGCCGUGUGAGCGAUGAAGGCCUUCGGGUUGUAAAGUUCUUUCGCUAGGGAACAAGAAAGUYCGAUGAAUAAUCGGAUGAUUUGAKGGUACUUGGWAAAGAAGCACCGGCUAACUCC
RNAcentral lists this ribosomal RNA (164 nucleotides) under uncultured Chlamydiales bacterium. RNAcentral describes it as "partial 16S ribosomal RNA". It matches the Rfam family "Bacterial small subunit ribosomal RNA", at positions 346 to 504 of the family's 1533-position model. The record is from RNAcentral. Lineage: Bacteria; Pseudomonadati; Chlamydiota; Chlamydiia; Chlamydiales.